Molecule: non-coding RNA, 94 nt
Organism: Collybia nuda
Lineage: Eukaryota; Fungi; Basidiomycota; Agaricomycetes; Agaricales; Clitocybaceae
Source: the annotation of a GenBank genome assembly
GUCCUUGUCGAUUAGUGGUUAGAUCAUGACGUUGUGGUUUGUGUAAUCGACCAAAAAUACCGUCAAGACGGAGGUUCGACUUCUCCCUGGGACA